GUGGGGGCUGUGAGGAGGGCUGGUGGUUGGUGGAGCUCAGCGCUGACCGAUCCAGUUUUAGGACCUCUCGGCCGGUAUAACGCUGACCCUGUCGGCUGUAGGAUCGGUGCAGAGACCCGGCAGGGGCUCAUCAGCCCCGUGCUCCAUCCUGGAGCCUGAGAAAGGGAUAUGAGUCCAGUCCCAGCCUAAUAGAAGCUGAGAGAAACGGUGCUAAAGCCGCCCUGCUGCGUGGCCCGAGCACUGCAAGUGGUAUUUGUUACGUGUACGAGUGGUUGCAGGGGCAGGACUGGACCUUAGCCCUCAGCAAACAUCCACGUUGCUGUUCUGGGGUCAGCUGAGUUUCUGCUGCCAGUGGCUUGGAAAUGAGGGAAGGUUUCAGCAUGAGGCACCCAGGCCCUGCUGCAGGCAGGCGUUCAGCUGCUGGGAAAAGUGAACACAAACUGCUGUGUUUUUGUUUUGUUUAAGGCUGGCUGUAAAUCCUUGCUGCCAGCACUCUGACAACAGUUUGUAUCUCUGUGGCUGCUUCUUAAAGUAGCUUAAAUGGAAAUGCUGUAGGAAUGAUGAACUGGAUGAGGAGCUACGAGAUACGGUUUAGUGGCUUGUGAUAGUAUUGGUAGUGGCAGGAUGGUUGGACUAGAUCUUGUAGGUCCUUUCCAACAUUGUAAUUCUAUGAUCCUAUGAAAGAAGGAGCCUUCCCUGGUAGGUAAUGUGCUUCACACUGGGAGGUGAGGUAGGCAGCAAUGUCUGCCUGGCACUCCUGGGUGGGAAGAGUUGGCUUUAACUUGUCCCUGUGCUACCAAACCCAGUAGUCUGGAGAUGGCUUAGGAACAGUCGUCCCUUCGCAAACUGCUCCUAUCUCUGCCACUCCUUAAUGUGCUGCCCUACCACUUCUUUGUAAGGCCACCUCCAACAUAAGUCUUGAUUUCACCUAUGCUUUUACUUGUGCCUUUCCUUCCUGGUCCCAGUUUCCCAUGUUUUGGUGUCACAGGUGCUUCUGCUUCUAAGCCCCUACCUCAGAGCUGCGCUUCAUGGGCAGCAGCUGCCUGGCAGUGUGGUUUCAGAUCAGAAUUUAAUGCAGUGCUGAUUGAUCACUGCUCCGAUUGCUUCUGGCUGGAGCUGUCGGGGCUCAUGAUAGAUUCUCUCGCUCUCUUUUUCCAGAUCAUCAGCGUUCAUUGAUAUAGCAAGCCUCUCCACUGCUGACCAGACUCAUACAUUUGCCUCCUGCUUUGAGAUCCACCCUGUCAGCCCCUGUACUGCCUUUCUGAGUGAGUGGAGCUUCUGACACUCCUGACACGCUGGAUCUGCAUCUCCAUUGCAAUCUAAUGCACGAAGGGAAGACAAGAGAGGUAUUGGAAGGAUACUAUUGGAAGACACUCCACCAAACACUGGAAAACAGAAUUUAGGACUACAAGAGAGAUUUCUUCUCAUCGGCUCCAAACACCUGCAGACCAGUGAGUGCUGCUGACUGCUGGAGAAGAGGCUCUGGAGCAAUCUCCCAGAAGGAGAACUGGAGGAAAACCUUUGUUUCCAGGUAGAAAUCUGAAUCUGCAAUCAGGCUGUGUUGGUCCUAGAGGUGAGGGUGCAUUGAAUCCCUACAGGCAACCCUGCAUAACGUUGUUUGAACCUUGUGGACUGAAUCACAACAGAUUUGCAUCAAUGCCAACGUGAAUAAAACUUGCAAGCAGGAGCUGAGACCCCUAAAGGGCUCUGUGAUUGAGCACGUCCUCCUUCCAGGCAGCCACGCUGAGAUAUUCAUGGGAACAGCAGGUGCUGAAGCCAGCUGAAGCCCUGGGAAGCUUGGGGCAGUGAUAGAAGCACAGAAUAUUGGACAGAGA
Long non-coding RNA from Lagopus leucura (white-tailed ptarmigan), 1835 nucleotides. RefSeq lists it as uncharacterized. The record is from RefSeq and is a predicted model, not a curated record. NCBI's taxonomy places the organism in Eukaryota, Metazoa, Chordata, Aves, Galliformes, Phasianidae. The transcript has 3 exons.